AUUGAACGCUGACGGAAUGCUUUACACAUGCAAGUCGAACGGCAGCACGGACUUCGGUCUGGUGGCGAGUGGCGAACGGGUGAGUAAUGUAUCGGAACGUGCCCAGUCGUGGGGGAUAACGUAGUGAAAAUUACGCUAAUACCGCAUACGAUCUAUGGAUGAAAGCGGGGGAUCGCAAGACCUCGCGCGAUUGGAGCGGCCGAUCGCAGAUUAGGUAGUUGGGGGGGUAAAGGCCCACCAAGCCAACGAUCUGUAGCUGGUCUGAGAGGACGGCAAGCCACACGGGAACAGUAAAACGUACCAGCAUCCUACGCGAGGCAGCAGUGGGGGAUUUUGGACAAUGGGCGAAAGCGUGAUCCAGCCAUUCCGCGUGCGGGAUGAAGGCCCUCGGGUUGUAAACUGCUUUUGUACAGAACGAAAAGGUUUCUACUAAUACUAGGAGCUCAUGACGGUACUGUAAGAAUAAGCACCGGCUAACUACGUGCCAGCAGCCGCCGUAA
RNAcentral lists this ribosomal RNA (500 nucleotides) under uncultured bacterium. RNAcentral's name for it is "partial 16S ribosomal RNA". It matches the Rfam family "Bacterial small subunit ribosomal RNA", at positions 30 to 523 of the family's 1533-position model. The record is from RNAcentral.